RNAcentral lists this ribosomal RNA (73 nucleotides) under Enterobacter sp. AG326. RNAcentral's name for it is "partial 23S ribosomal RNA". The record is from RNAcentral. Lineage: Bacteria; Pseudomonadati; Pseudomonadota; Gammaproteobacteria; Enterobacterales; Enterobacteriaceae.
UGAUAGGUCGGGUGUGUAAGCGCAGCGAUGCGUUGAGCUAACCGAUACUAAUGAACCGUGAGGCUUAACCUUA